UACGUACUCUCUCCGUCUGAAAAUACUUGUCAUCAAAAUGAAUAAAAUGGGAUGACGUAUUUUAGUUCAGAUACAUCUUUUUUUAUUCAUUUUGAUGAUAAGUAUUUUUGAACGGAGGAGUAUGUA
Molecule: non-coding RNA, 126 nt
Organism: Triticum aestivum (bread wheat)
Lineage: Eukaryota; Viridiplantae; Streptophyta; Magnoliopsida; Poales; Poaceae
Source: Rfam